Molecule: unclassified non-coding RNA, 373 nt
Filed under: Acacia confusa
Lineage: Eukaryota; Viridiplantae; Streptophyta; Magnoliopsida; Fabales; Fabaceae
Description: partial external transcribed spacer
Source: RNAcentral
CGUCCACCGAACGGCCGGCAGGCGAUCCGCGUCGGUCGCGCGGGGUGGUAUGGUUCCCCAGAGGCUGGUUCUUGUGUUGCCUGCCCUUAAGAGGGAAGCACGCCUCCUGACGGUUGAAAGCCUCCAUCCGGCGCCCUCCAACGGGCGCAGGAGGACAACGUAGCACCCCCCGUGUUCCACCGAACCCUCGCCGGUCGCGUGGCCCGCGGGGGCGUGCGGCGCUCUCGGACCCAGCGCACGCCGUGGGCGAGGACUCACGUCCCGGUCCCAAGAGAACCUCGAUGCAACGAAUGACGGCCGCUCCCGCCCCCCCCACCGCCCCGGCGGCGCGGGGGCGAGGCGCGGCGUCGCGGAGGAAUGCUACCUGGUGAUC